AAAAAAACCAAAGAGAGGGCAACAUGAGAAUGAUUACUUUACACUGUGAACCUAGUAAACAAGUUAAACUGAAAAGAGAAAAAAGUGGCUUGACAAUUUGCUAAGGCCAUGAUCGCGAUCAUCAGUACCCUGGGAUCCACAGGAGACAGAAAGGAGCUGCUAAAUACUCAAAGAGAAGGCAUUUCUAAUGAGUAUUUUAAUUUUUUUUAACAUUUAUUUAUUUUUGAGAGACUGAGAGACACAGAGUGCAAGUGGGGGAGGGGCAGAGAUAGAGAGGGAGACACAGAAUCAGAAACAGGCUCCGGGCUCCGAGCUGUCAGUGCAGAGCCCGACCAGGGGCUCGAACUCAGAAACCGCGAGAUCAUGACCUGAGUAGAAGUCGGACGCUUUAGCCACUGAGCCACCCAGGCACCCUUCUAAUGAGUGUUUUAAACUCUCUUGUAAGUCACAAAAACAAGGUGUUUUUAUAACCAGUUCUAUGAGCAGUAUGACCCAUAACUAGUGUCAACAUGUUAAGUUGGUAACGUUUAGGGUCAUUAUGGCCGUAACAGUUGAUAUUUUUGAAAGCUACAGAGCUCAAGUAUAUGCAGUUUCCUCAGUCACGUUCACAGACGUGGAAUUACUGAAUCCAGCCAAAUGUGCGUGGAUCACCUUAUUACUUAUUAGCCAGGCACUUGUCCUGAACUAGCUGAUAAGAUCAAGGAUAUAAAAGAGCUGUUACUAAGUAACUUUCCAUUCCCUUUAUGACAUUUUUAGUAAAGCACAACAACUAAAGGGCAAAUAAAAGGAGGGAUGCGAGAGGCCAACUAGCUACAUAUGUUAACAUUAUUCUGCCAUAAAUGUGCGGUGCCCUGGAGUUUGUUUUACUUAACUGAGCUGUUCCCAAUAGGAAGCAUCCCUAAUGAUAUCACUGCCUCAAAUUUCACGGUUACAAAACCAGUUUGGAAGAAACAAAUCUAGGAUGAGCCUUCAAAAACCAGCCACGACUACUAGCUACUUUUCAAAAGUGUUUAUAAUAACGCGGCCAAUAGUCUCGAUGAGUUUGUGCUGCAGGUGUGGUCUGUGCCUACGCUUGCGGAUAGUACCCUGACUAGAAUGCAGAAAGAGUGGCUUUCGUGGUGUGCGACGGGGGUCGUGGGGGAACAUGUUUCAUUCCACUGAUGGGCUAUUUGAAGGCCACCAUUUUUGGAAGUCUACUGAAGGCAAGCUACGUGAUACGGAAGCUUCCUAAAGAAACCUGUGGGCAGCUGCAUCUGAUUCAGCCCUCUCUAACUCUGAGGGGAGAGAACCACCUGUUACCGUGUGCCAGCUCUCUGGGGUUAACCCUGGUCCAGCACCGUAUGCCCUGAAGCUGCCAUGCAUGGCCAGCCCGGCUGGCUGGUUGACCUUUCUUGAAAUUAGAAGGCCGUGACUCUGUUGCUGCUGAGAAAUUUGCCAGAGCAUCCUUAAUAACUAACAGCAACCAGGGUACUGAGUUCUUUCAAACAUCUGACUUUGUUCAGCCAUCCUGAAACAAACCCUGGAUCACACGUUUUGUCUUCUGUCUACAAAAUGUCGCCAAGGAGAUAAAGAGGCUUUGCUUCCAUGUUAUCCAUGCCAAUCAGAUUCAUCUCCGGGGAGUAAGCCCGAAAAUCCACUGAGAACCGGAAACUAGGCUAUAACAUCCUGUACCGAUCAUCUAGUCUCACUGGAACCCCCUAAUUACAGAUGAAGCAAUGGAGACCGAAGAGGUUAAGUAAACUUUCCUCUUGGGGUGAUGUGCCCUCAGUUAAACACCUAGAACUUGGUCCUUGAA
Felis catus (domestic cat) is the source of this 1795-nucleotide long non-coding RNA. RefSeq lists it as uncharacterized. The record is from RefSeq and is a predicted model, not a curated record. NCBI's taxonomy places the organism in Eukaryota, Metazoa, Chordata, Mammalia, Carnivora, Felidae. The transcript is spliced from 2 exons.